AUCCUUUUGCGGCUCACAGGCACGCUGAUGGGGUGUUCACGCCCUGUGUGACAUGUCUCCUUCAAACCUUAUUAUGAUGUCAGCACAUUGCCUGUCUGACU
Molecule: small nucleolar RNA, 101 nt
Organism: Manis pentadactyla (Chinese pangolin)
Lineage: Eukaryota; Metazoa; Chordata; Mammalia; Pholidota; Manidae
Product: small nucleolar RNA U13
Exons: 1
Source: RefSeq, a predicted model, not a curated record